Amazona collaria (yellow-billed parrot) is the source of this 66-nucleotide small nucleolar RNA. Its record names the gene SNORD24. It matches the Rfam family "Small nucleolar RNA SNORD24". From Rfam's summary of the family: U24 is a member of the C/D class of snoRNA which contain the C (UGAUGA) and D (CUGA) box motifs. The record is from Ensembl. Lineage: Eukaryota; Metazoa; Chordata; Aves; Psittaciformes; Psittacidae.
UGCAGAUGAUGCUAACCUUUUGCUGUCUAAAUACACUUGAUGAUAACUACCAAGAUCAUUGAUGCA